This 223-nucleotide ribosomal RNA is filed under the name uncultured bacterium. Its description in RNAcentral is "partial 16S ribosomal RNA". It matches the Rfam family "Bacterial small subunit ribosomal RNA", at positions 112 to 334 of the family's 1533-position model. The record is from RNAcentral.
CGGACGUGAGUAACCUGCCUCUAAGAGGGGAAGUAACAUUCUGAAAAGAAUGCUAAUACCGCAUAACAUAUAUUUAUCGCAUGGUAGAUAUAUCAAAGAUUUAUCGCUUAGAGAUGGACUCGCGUCCGAUUAGUUAGUUGGUGAGGUAACGGCUCACCAAGACUGCGAUCGGUAGCCGGACUGAGAGGUUGAGCGGCCACAUUGGGACUGAGACACGGCCCAG